UACAGAGGUCCCAAGCGUUGUUCGGAUUCACUGGGCGUAAAGGGUGCGUAGGAGGCUGGGAAAGUCGGAUGUGAAAUCUCACCGCUUAACGGUGAAACUGCAUUCGAUACUACUCGGCUAGAGGAUCGGAGGGGAGAGCAGAAUUCUUGGUGUAGCGGUGAAAUGCGUAGAUAUCAAGAGGAAUACCAACAGCGUAGGCAGCUCUCUGGAAGAUUCCUGACUCUGAGGCACGAAGGCCAGGGGAGCAAACGGG
This 253-nucleotide ribosomal RNA is filed under the name uncultured bacterium. Its description in RNAcentral is "partial 16S ribosomal RNA". It matches the Rfam family "Bacterial small subunit ribosomal RNA", at positions 524 to 776 of the family's 1533-position model. The record is from RNAcentral.